CCUACGGGAGGCAGCAGUAGGGAAUAUUGCUCAAUGGGGGAAACCCUGAAGCAGCAACGCCGCGUGGAGGAUGAAGGUUUUCGGAUUGUAAACUCCUUUUGUUAGAGAAGAUAAUGACGGUAUCUAACGAAUAAGCACCGGCUAACUCCGUGCCAGCAGCCGCGGUAAUACGGAGGGUGCAAGCGUUACUCGGAAUCACUGGGCGUAAAGAGCGCGUAGGCGGGAUAGCAAGUCAGAUGUGAAAUACUAUGGCUUAACCAUAAAACUGCAUUUGAAACUGUUAUUCUAGAGUAUGGGAGAGGUAGGUGGAAUUCUUGGUGUAGGGGUAAAAUGCGUAGAGAUCAAGAGGAAUACUCAUUGCGAAGGCGACCUGCUAGAACAUAACUGACGCUGAUGCGCGAAAGCGUGGGGAGCAAACAGGAUUAGAUACCCUAGUAGUC
This 440-nucleotide ribosomal RNA is filed under the name uncultured bacterium. Its description in RNAcentral is "partial 16S ribosomal RNA". It matches the Rfam family "Bacterial small subunit ribosomal RNA", at positions 338 to 795 of the family's 1533-position model. The record is from RNAcentral.